GACCUGGCGGCAGCUACACCUGCCAGUUUGAACGGUAACAGGAUAGCUUGCUCUCGCUGACGAGUGGCGGACGGGUGAGUAAUACUUAGGGAUCUGCCUCUGUGUGGGGGAUAACUAUUGGAAACGAUAGCUAAUACCGCAUAAUGUCUACGGACCAAAGCGGGCUUCGGCUCGUGCGCAGAGAGGAACCUAAGCGAGAUUAGCUAGUUGGUGAGGUAAAGGCUCACCAAGGCGACGAUCUCUAGCUGUUCUGAGAGGAAGAUCAGCCACACUGGAACUGAGACACGGUCCAGACUCCUACGGGAGGCAGCAGUGGGGAAUAUUGCACAAUGGGGGAAACCCUGAUGCAGCCAUGCCGCGUGUGUGAAGAAGGCCUUCGGGUUGUAAAGCACUUUCAGUUGUGAGGAAAGUUUAGUAGUUAAUACCUGCUAGAUGUGACGUUAGCAACAGAAGAAGCACCGGCUAACUCCGUGCCAGCAGCCGACGAGUAAUACGGAGGGUGCGAGCGUUUACUCGGAAUUACUGGGCGUAAAGCGCACGCAGGCGGUCUGUUAAGCCUAGAUGUGAAAGCCCCGCAGCUCAACGUGGGAGGGUCAUUUAGAACUGGCAGACUAGAGUCUUGGAGA
Molecule: ribosomal RNA, 626 nt
Filed under: uncultured Gammaproteobacteria bacterium
Lineage: Bacteria; Pseudomonadati; Pseudomonadota; Gammaproteobacteria
Description: bacterial SSU rRNA
Rfam family: Bacterial small subunit ribosomal RNA
Source: RNAcentral